This 468-nucleotide ribosomal RNA is filed under the name uncultured bacterium. Its description in RNAcentral is "partial 16S ribosomal RNA". It matches the Rfam family "Bacterial small subunit ribosomal RNA", at positions 28 to 507 of the family's 1533-position model. The record is from RNAcentral.
GACGAACGCUGGCGGCGUGCUUAACACAUGCAAGUCGAACGGAAAGGCCCUGCUUUUGUGGGGUGCUCGAGUGGCGAACGGGUGAGUAACACGUUAGUAACCUGCCCUUGACUUUGGGAUAACUUCAGGAAACUGGGGCUAAUACCGGAUAGGAGCUCCUGCUGCAUGGUGGGGGUUGGAAAGUUUCGGCGGUUGGGGAUGGACUCGCGGCUUAUCAGCUUGUUGGUGGGGUAGUGGCUUACCAAGGCUUUGACGGGUAGCCGGCCUGAGAGGGUGACCGGCCACAUUGGGACUGAGAUACGGCCCAGACUCCUACGGGAGGCAGCAGUAGGGAAUAUUGCACAAUGGGCGGAAGCCUGAUGCAGCAACGCCGCGUGCGGGAUGACGGCCUUCGGGUUGUAAACCGCUUUCGCCUGUGACGAAGCGUGAGUGACGGUAAUGGGUAAAGAAGCACCGGCUAACUACGUG